CAAGAAUUUGCCCCAGUAACGGCGAGUGAAGCGGCAACAGCUCAAAUUUGAAAUCUGGCCCCCCCCGGGGGGCCCGAGUUGUAAUUUGCAGAGGAUGCUUUGGGCGAGGCGCCUUCCGAGUUCCCUGGAACGGGACGCCACAGAGGGUGAGAGCCCCGUCUGGUCGGACGCCGAGCCUCUGUAAAGCUCCUUCGACGAGUCGAGUAGUUUGGGAAUGCUGCUCAAAAUGGGAGGUAUAUGUCUUCUAAAGCUAAAUACCGGCCAGAGACCGAUAGCGCACAAGUAGAGUGAUCGAAAGAUGAAAAGCACCUUGAAAAGGGGGUUAAACGUCCGUGAAAUUGUUGAAAGGGAACGCUCGUGACCAGACUUGGGGCGGGCGGUCAGCCUUCGUUCUCGCCGGCGCACUCCGCCCGUCCCAGGCCAGCAUCAGUUCGCGCCGGGGGACAAAGGCGGCGGGAACGUGGCUCCCCAGGGAGUGUUAUAGCCCGCCGCGCCAUGCCCCGGGGGCGGACUGAGGCCCGCGCAUCACUGCAAGGAUGCUGGCGUAAUGGUCACCAGCGACCCGUCUUGA
RNAcentral lists this ribosomal RNA (571 nucleotides) under Aschersonia tahitensis. RNAcentral's name for it is "LSU rRNA". It matches the Rfam family "Eukaryotic large subunit ribosomal RNA", at positions 69 to 657 of the family's 3401-position model. Lineage: Eukaryota; Fungi; Ascomycota; Sordariomycetes; Hypocreales; Clavicipitaceae. The record is from RNAcentral.